UGCUUAAAGCAGGCAUAUGCCUUGAAUACUCCAGCAUGGAAUAAUAUUAAAGAUUUUUAUCUUUCUUAUUGGUUCUAAGAUAAAAAUAAUGAUUAAUAGGGACAGUUGGGGGCAUUUGUAUUUAACAGUCAGAGGUGAAAUUCUUAGAUAUGUUAAAGACAAACUAAUGCGAAAGCAUUUGCCAAGGAUGUUUUCAUUAAUCAAGAACGAAAGUUAGGGGAUCGAAGACGAUCAGAUACCGUCGUAGUCUUAACCAUAAACUAUGCCAACUAGAGAUUGGAGGUU
RNAcentral lists this ribosomal RNA (285 nucleotides) under Cryptosporidium meleagridis. RNAcentral describes it as "partial small subunit ribosomal RNA". It matches the Rfam family "Eukaryotic small subunit ribosomal RNA", at positions 772 to 1061 of the family's 1831-position model. The record is from RNAcentral. Lineage: Eukaryota; Apicomplexa; Conoidasida; Eucoccidiorida; Cryptosporidiidae.